GGACACUGGAGACAUAGGGACCCUGCUGGGACCGGGCUCCUAAAAAAGUAAAUUGCUGGAUGAGUUGAAUCCAGAGUCCUCUGUGCGUGGGGCACUCCCACUAAAAAAGUUUUAUAGCUAGAUCAUGAUGUGCCCAGGAAUGGCAAUGACAGCACCUGACACGUAUGGAUACUGACUUCUGAG
Long non-coding RNA from Rhineura floridana, 183 nucleotides. RefSeq lists it as uncharacterized. Lineage: Eukaryota; Metazoa; Chordata; Lepidosauria; Squamata; Rhineuridae. The transcript has 3 exons. The record is from RefSeq and is a predicted model, not a curated record.